RNAcentral lists this ribosomal RNA (1554 nucleotides) under Escherichia coli. RNAcentral describes it as "bacterial SSU rRNA". It matches the Rfam family "Bacterial small subunit ribosomal RNA". RNAcentral also lists the same sequence under 2 other names. The record is from RNAcentral. Lineage: Bacteria; Pseudomonadati; Pseudomonadota; Gammaproteobacteria; Enterobacterales; Enterobacteriaceae.
AAAUUGAAGAGUUUGAUCAUGGCUCAGAUUGAACGCUGGCGGCAGGCCUAACACAUGCAAGUCGAACGGUAACAGGAAGCAGCUUGCUGUUUCGCUGACGAGUGGCGGACGGGUGAGUAAUGUCUGGGAAACUGCCUGAUGGAGGGGGAUAACUACUGGAAACGGUAGCUAAUACCGCAUAACGUCGCAAGACCAAAGAGGGGGACCUUCGGGCCUCUUGCCAUCGGAUGUGCCCAGAUGGGAUUAGCUAGUAGGUGGGGUAACGGCUCACCUAGGCGACGAUCCCUAGCUGGUCUGAGAGGAUGACCAGCCACACUGGAACUGAGACACGGUCCAGACUCCUACGGGAGGCAGCAGUGGGGAAUAUUGCACAAUGGGCGCAAGCCUGAUGCAGCCAUGCCGCGUGUAUGAAGAAGGCCUUCGGGUUGUAAAGUACUUUCAGCGGGGAGGAAGGGAGUAAAGUUAAUACCUUUGCUCAUUGACGUUACCCGCAGAAGAAGCACCGGCUAACUCCGUGCCAGCAGCCGCGGUAAUACGGAGGGUGCAAGCGUUAAUCGGAAUUACUGGGCGUAAAGCGCACGCAGGCGGUUUGUUAAGUCAGAUGUGAAAUCCCCGGGCUCAACCUGGGAACUGCAUCUGAUACUGGCAAGCUUGAGUCUCGUAGAGGGGGGUAGAAUUCCAGGUGUAGCGGUGAAAUGCGUAGAGAUCUGGAGGAAUACCGGUGGCGAAGGCGGCCCCCUGGACGAAGACUGACGCUCAGGUGCGAAAGCGUGGGGAGCAAACAGGAUUAGAUACCCUGGUAGUCCACGCCGUAAACGAUGUCGACUUGGAGGUUGUGCCCUUGAGGCGUGGCUUCCGGAGCUAACGCGUUAAGUCGACCGCCUGGGGAGUACGGCCGCAAGGUUAAAACUCAAAUGAAUUGACGGGGGCCCGCACAAGCGGUGGAGCAUGUGGUUUAAUUCGAUGCAACGCGAAGAACCUUACCUGGUCUUGACAUCCACGGAAGUUUUCAGAGAUGAGAAUGUGCCUUCGGGAACCGUGAGACAGGUGCUGCAUGGCUGUCGUCAGCUCGUGUUGUGAAAUGUUGGGUUAAGUCCCGCAACGAGCGCAACCCUUAUCCUUUGUUGCCAGCGGUCCGGCCGGGAACUCAAAGGAGACUGCCAGUGAUAAACUGGAGGAAGGUGGGGAUGACGUCAAGUCAUCAUGGCCCUUACGACCAGGGCUACACACGUGCUACAAUGGCGCAUACAAAGAGAAGCGACCUCGCGAGAGCAAGCGGACCUCAUAAAGUGCGUCGUAGUCCGGAUUGGAGUCUGCAACUCGACUCCAUGAAGUCGGAAUCGCUAGUAAUCGUGGAUCAGAAUGCCACGGUGAAUACGUUCCCGGGCCUUGUACACACCGCCCGUCACACCAUGGGAGUGGGUUGCAAAAGAAGUAGGUAGCUUAACCUUCGGGAGGGCGCUUACCACUUUGUGAUUCAUGACUGGGGUGAAGUCGUAACAAGGUAACCGUAGGGGAACCUGCGGUUGGAUCACCUCCUUACCUUAAAGAAGC